AUUGAACGCUGGCGGCGUGCCUAAUACAUGCAAGUCGAGCGAAUGACGAGAAGCUUGCUUCUCUGAUUUAGCGGCGGACGGGUGAGUAACACGUGGGCAACCUGCCCUACAGAACGGGAUAACUCAGGGAAACUUGGGCUAAUACCGGAUAAUCCUUCGAAUCACAUGUUUUGAAGUUGAAAGGCGCUUCGCCGUAUCUGUAGCAUGGGCCCGCGGUGAUUUAGCUAGGUGGUGGGGUAACGGCCUACCAAGGCAACGAUGCAUAGCCGACCUGAGAGGGUGAUCGGCCACAUUGGGACUGAGACACGGCCCAAACUCCUACGGGAGGCAGCAGUAGGGAAUCUUGCACAAUGGGCGAAAGUCUGAUGGAGCAACGCCGCGUGAGUGGUGAAGGUUUUCGGAUCGUAAACCUCUGUUGUAAGGGAAGAACAAGUACGUUAGGAAAUGAACGUACCUUGACGGUACCUUAUUAGAAAGCCACGGCUAACUACGUGCCAGCCGCCGCGGUAA
This 510-nucleotide ribosomal RNA is filed under the name uncultured bacterium. RNAcentral describes it as "partial 16S ribosomal RNA". It matches the Rfam family "Bacterial small subunit ribosomal RNA", at positions 30 to 523 of the family's 1533-position model. The record is from RNAcentral.